AGCAGCCGCGGUAAUUCCAGCUCCAAUAGCGUAUAUUAAAGUCGUUGCAGUUAAAAAGCUCGUAGUUGAAUUUCGGGAUCAGCAGGUUGGUCGUGCCUACGGUAUGAACUGGCCUUGCUGAUUCCUCCCUCUUGAUGAGCCGUAAUGCCAUUAAUUUGGUGUUGCGGGGAAUCAGGACUGUUACUUUAGAAAAAUUAGAGUGUUUAAAGCAGGCAAGCGCUUGAAUACAUUAGCAUGGAAUAAUGAAAUAGGACGUUUGAUCCUAUUUUGUUGGUCUCUAGGAUUGACGUAAUGAUUAAUAGGGAU
Molecule: small RNA, 306 nt
Filed under: uncultured Glomus
Lineage: Eukaryota; Fungi; Glomeromycota; Glomeromycetes; Glomerales; Glomeraceae
Description: SSU rRNA
Rfam family: Eukaryotic small subunit ribosomal RNA
Source: RNAcentral